CUAGCGACAGGCCUAACACAUGCAAGUCAGGGGCAGCACAAGGAGCAAUCUGAGGUGGCGACCGGCGCACGGGUGAGUAACACGUAUGCAACCUGCCUGUAAGCGGGGAAUAACCCGUUGAAAGACGGACUAAUACCGCAUAAUACUAAAUUACUGCAUGGUAAUUUAUUUAAACAUUUAUGGCUUACAGAUGGGCAUGCGCAUGAUUAGCUAGUUGGAGAGGUAACGGCUCCCCAAGGCAACGAUCAUUAGGGGUUCUGAGAGGAAGGUCCCCCACACUGGUACUGAGACACGGACCAGACUCCUACGGGAGGCAGCAGUGAGGAAUAUUGGUCAAUGGACGAGAGUCUGAACCAGCCAAGUCGCGUGCAGGAAGAAUGUCCCUAUGGAUUGUAAACUGCUUUUGCAGGGGAAUAAAGUGCAUCACGUGUGAUGUUUUGUAUGUACUCUGCGAAUAAGGAUCGGCUAACUCCGUGCCAGCCGCCGC
RNAcentral lists this ribosomal RNA (487 nucleotides) under uncultured bacterium. Its description in RNAcentral is "bacterial SSU rRNA". It matches the Rfam family "Bacterial small subunit ribosomal RNA", at positions 36 to 518 of the family's 1533-position model. The record is from RNAcentral.